RNAcentral lists this ribosomal RNA (253 nucleotides) under uncultured bacterium. RNAcentral's name for it is "partial 16S ribosomal RNA". It matches the Rfam family "Bacterial small subunit ribosomal RNA", at positions 524 to 776 of the family's 1533-position model. The record is from RNAcentral.
CACGGACCGCACGAACGUUAUUCGGUAUCACUGGGCUUAAAGGGUGCGUAGGCGGCUUUGCAAGUUGGGUGUGAAAGCCCUCGGCUCAACCGAGGAAUUGCGCUCAAUACUGCCGAGCUCGAGAGAGACAGAGGUAAGCGGAACUAAUGGUGGAGCGGUGAAAUGCGUUGAUAUCGGAAGGAACACCAGUGGCGAAAGCGGCGCGCUGGACCUCUUCUGACGCUGAGGCGCGAAAGCCAGGGGAGCAAACGGG